Long non-coding RNA from Aquila chrysaetos chrysaetos, 5075 nucleotides. RefSeq lists it as uncharacterized. The transcript has 3 exons. NCBI's taxonomy places the organism in Eukaryota, Metazoa, Chordata, Aves, Accipitriformes, Accipitridae. The record is from RefSeq and is a predicted model, not a curated record.
UCAGGAGAGAGUGGUGGGCUCCAGAGGGCUGGGAGAUGGUCACCGGCCCCAGGGAAGGAAAAAGUGUCUGGGUGAGAGAGUCGUGGCAAGAAAGCAGGAGCUGUAGCCCAUGGAGAUAGUACUGAGAGGAGCAGGGACCUGACUCACCAAUAACUCAACCCCCGCAGCGGCAGGGAGAAACUUUCUAGGGAUCAGAGGGAGGUGACUGCAAAUCAAAACCUACCGUGAUCACAGUAACCAAACAGAAAGCAAGAGCUUUCCUAAUGGUUCUUUCAUAAAGUAUCUGAAAGCAUCAAGAUUUCGGGAGGAACGAAAUCAUCCAAGAACUGGAAUUUUCAUCCUCUCAGGAGCUCUACUUAAAGGUCAUCUUGCAAAGCUGUUUUCAUCUUGGGAAUGGUCAUGUCGACUGUCUGCUCCCUUGACAAUAAUAAUGUACAUCACUUCUCACAGUUUUCAUGAAAUGGAGGAUCGUAGGACGUCACAGGAGAUCGCUACAGCCUGAUCCGGCUGCAAGAAGCUGCGAAAAGUUUCGAGCUGUUUUCAGUGACUCUCCUGUCCAUGGGAUUGCUCCUCCUGCCCAUUCCCAAGAAGAGGGGAGUGAAGUAAUUGGUCCGUCUCUGGCAGAAUCCCGAAGCCGUGUGUCCCGCGCGCCUCAGCCUGCGAAGCCCUGAAGAGCCUGGGUGACUGGUGCCUCUUGCAUUUCCCCCGGGGAUGGGUCUGGGCUGAAGCAGCAGGAGGUGCAAACGGGGUGCUCCUGCUUUGGGGAGCAGUGGUCCAAAAGAGGCUUGGGGAGCUUCCGCACCAGUGGGGUUAGUAGCUUUUUUUUGUUCAAAUCUUGGUUUAGUAGAGGAGCAAAUGAAAAUGGGUAUGUGAAAGCUCUCCUGUUAGGCAGAGUAUUUCAGACUCUGUGUUCAAGCUGUAUUUUAAUCAAGGGUAUCAGAAAUACAGAGAGAGUUUGUCACACAGACUGAGCGUUAGGGAUAUUUUAACAGGCAGAAAGAAGGAUGAGUGAGAGCUUAGCAAACUAACAUAGGCCUGGAAAAUAAGAUUUGAUGACCUUUUAAUCACUGGCUUUCUCAGUAUGUAGAGGAAGACAAUUUAUUUUCCCAGUGCUUCAGUUGCUUUCUGUACAGUGGGGAUAAUAACACUACUUGAAAUAAGCCUUGUAGGGAGAAAUGUUAAAUAUUGGCAGCUGCUUAUGGGUUUACAAUCAAAGAAUCACACUAGCUAUUUACUUCGGGCGAGUAAAUGCUAUGUGUAGAUACAGAAUUUCAAAGUAAAAUUGGUCAUGAAAUCAUGAUACGGUAAGGCACUCCUCUCAGACUAUGACCAGAGGGUACCGGAGGACCUGUGGUAUUUUAUGAGACAUCUGUACCAUGAGCUAAAAAACCAACUGGACAUUAAAGAGCCUUUGACAAUCUUCAGAGGAAAAGACGAGUUAUCACCUUUAAAUCUGAAAUUACAGAUAAUUACAUUUUCCUCCCUUAAUCACCCUGUAGUUCCAAUUAGGGAUGCUAUUUCUCACUUUCUCUCCCAAAGUGUGGCGCAAUGCCGCUAUGCAUUAGUGAACAGCUGCCUCACUUGACCCCAGCGGUGACUGCUUCUUGGCGGUGGAUGAAACGAGCCACGCCGAUUCCUUGACUACAUCACAGGGAUAUUGUGACUGGCUUAAUUAGAUAAUGCUCAAGAAGCGUUGUGAGAUACUUGGCUUAAAAGCAUUAUGUAAGGCCAAAUUAAUUAUGAGUAUUAAUACAAUCUUGAUCUAAAGAGUAAUUUGAAUAAGGGAUAAAAUAAUAACGAGAUCUUUGUGAGUCACGUACGGAGUGCUUUGCUUCUCCACAUAAAACAUCUCCCACGUCAUUUAAAAUGUUUCCGUGGAGCAGAGCAGGGCAGUGCCGCUCAGAAGUGACAGGAAUAUGCGCUGCCAGAUGUGAGUCAUCGCUGAACUCCAGCACUCCUUCCUUUGUUCACAUUUCAAGCACCAGACACCCUGUUCCCUAAGACAGAGUUGCCUGCAGAUGCCUUGAUGGAACAUGAAAUGAGGAACCCGCCAGACAAGGUGGGGUUGUUUGGUUUUGUUUUGAAGUUUGGGGGAUUGUCUUCAUUCCCUGUGCAGAUCUGUGGUGACAUGGCACAACCAACCUUGUCCCUGGGUGAAAUGCUGGCAUUUCUGAAAUCAAGGAAAUGUUCCCUUUGACUUCAGUGGAACCAGGAUUUCCACCACGUACAUGUUUCAGUGCCGUGUUCUUUCAGGUAGGGAAACGUGGAAGUGCUGGAAACUAUGUGAAUUUACGUAGCCAUAUAGUCAAUUUCCCUACAAAAUUAGAAAAAUCAGACUGAACUGAACUGACUGAUCUCCAAAUCUGUCUUGAUGGCUGUGUGGCCAGCACAGGCUUCCACUGCAGCUUUUUGCUUGGUAAGCUUUAUACAUUUUGUGGAUACCUACCUAGAAAGUUUGGUAUCAGAUUUAUUUUAAUGAAAUCUGAACACAUGGAGAACAGAUUUCUAAGUCUAAACUUUUUAUAUGGCUACGGUAGAUUCUUUUGAUUAAAGACACAUAUCUACAGUACUCUAGGAUGAACUGAGUUGCUACCUAGAUCUGCACUGACUCUAAGAGGAGUCUACAGUAAGUAACUACAUUUAGUCACAUGAAUUUUAUAAUUUUAUAUUUACUUUUUGGUAAGUACUUUAGGAUUUUAAUGAAACAGGGCUGCAAUAUUGAAUGAGUUAAUGUUACUGAGCUAGUUACCACAGAAACUGAGCACAGAAUUGUAUUUUAACUUUAGAAGCAGUGUAUCUCUGCAAAAUUCUCACUUUGUUUACUACCUAAUGAAAUAUUUGAACUGAAUAACCAUUUUCUUUUCAGGUAUUGGACAAAUAUCUCUAAUGACUACUCUUCACACAAACUCCACUUAUAAGGCCAGACUUCCACAUGCAGACUUCCUUGUUAUGUAAAACUUGAGCUGCUUGACUAAAGCCAAGCAUAUAAAUGACAUUCUGAAUAUUUAGUUCUAGUCCAUUUUAUUUUUAUUUACUUCUGUGCUUCAUUACAAUGAGAGAUACAUGUUUUUGUGUUUUGGGGAUUAUAAUUACUCGUGUCCAUAGAGCAGCUCACCAGAGAGUAUAAUUAUUGCUCACACGUUGGCUCAAGGCAAGAAUAAGAUUAGAAAGUCGGACACGGUCAUGACUCUUACAUUUUAAUUUGUUCACCUCCUGGUAGCACCUAACAGAUCACCUACGCCUGUCCUAAUUUUUCAAUACAAAGAGAUUAAACUCCUGCCUCCAUGAGGCAGAUAUUUUUUGUGAGGAAGAUAUUCAUACCAGAAAAUGAAGUUCACCUUACUCACAAAGACAUAGAGCUGUCCGAAUCGCCACCUGCGGCAGGGACGGGGACGGCACCCAGGGCAGCUGGCCACGCGUGCACCACAGCCAAUGUCACAGAAAUGUCCGAGGCCACAGAGACACGACAGACAGCGCUGGGUGCACAGGGAUGGAGCGCGUCCUCUUUUUGGGGAGAAUUCAAGCAAGGUCUUGGGGCAAGCUGCGUACCUACCACAGCUGGAGAGAUUGAUUCAGGCUGGAGGUGACAUAUCCAUUGCUCGUGAGCCACGUGUACACCAAGAAUCGGUUUGACGUGGCCUCUGAGGACUCCUUGAAGACAGGGGCUACCGCGGGGAUGGCCAGAGAGCCAUCUAUUUCCAGGUGGAACCUGGUCCAGAAUUCAAAAGCGCUUUUAGUGCAGGAAGACACUGGCCUGCCCCUUACUUGCCUGGAGAGCGGGCGCAGAGGGAGGGAGGGUGCUGCCUGGCGCAGGUACCUGCUCCUUUGCUAUUACACUGGCCUGUGCACUGCUGACGCUUCUGGUUUCUUCUUUUUUCUGUCUGGUGCACAGUUUAAUUUCCUGAGAACCCUCAUGCUUCAGUAUAACAAAAGUCUCCAGGCUUUAACAUAGAAUGUCUGGUAAGACAUUAUGGUUUGUGCUAUACGUUGGGCUAAGCCAAACAAGUUAAGCUCUAUCAAGCAGUAAAAACUGGCAACAUCCCUUCUUUGUCUACUACCAGUGAAACCUGGACCUCUAAAUCACUGAAAAAUAUCUGGUACUCAGACUUUGCCCGGGCUGAAUUACUCUGAGUUUGUGUGAAGAUUUUCCUCCUCCGCAGGGAGUCCUGACCAUCUCCUCAGAGCUAUAUUGAACAGCAUGUAUUCAUGAGCUUAGUUUGGGAACUACAUCCCUAGCUAUAAUGUUGGCCGAGAUUUCUCCAUGACGCCUUGGUAAGGUACGUGAGACCACGUAGAGAUGGCCAUCCCGCUCUCCAUGCUACAACCGAGUGAACAGAGCAGCCACUUUUCCCUCUAUACACUUGGUUGAGAUCUUCCCUUUCACUGUCUCACCAUGUACAGCUUCCUGCUCUGACUCCCGAAAAACUGUCUGUCUUGACGACAGGGUAAGGAACAGCAGAAUUUCUAACGUGCCAUUCUUUUUCCUGAACCUGGUUUAUAUUUGAUCACAACCACUUUGGUAUUAGAAGCCAGGUACCAUACAUGACCAUUAGAAGCUUUGCUGAAUGUGACAUCUCACUUUUUUAUUGAAGUGAAGCAAGGAUUAUAAUUUUUUAAUUCUACCCAGGACCAGAACCCUCAUAAGAGUUGUACACACUUGCAAUUUUAACGACUUAAAAGUACCACUUAUCUCAUGCCUGAAUUUAGCCCAAAAUGACUCACUACAUAACAAUACAUUUUUUUUCAGAGAUUUGUCUCCAUUACAGAAAUGCUGGAAGUGAUAAGAGGAGAGAGAGCAAGCUGUUUGUAAAUAUUACUUAUUCUGUUUUAACAUCUCUUAGUAGUAAAUGUUCACAAACAAGCAUAAAUUGAGAAGUUCAUUCUGCAUAUUUUACCUUCGUUUUACCUGUUUCUUUUAUCGGACUUACGUCUGACUGUAUGAUUUUAAGUGGUUUUUCAAAAUUGCUUCAAAAAAGAUGCUUCUGUAGAGUUUGCAUAUACUUGAUAUAUAUAUCUUCAGAAUGAUUUGUUCUUGUGCAUGCUUUUAGUUACAGAAUAAAGACUGCUUAAACUUU